Long non-coding RNA from Sander lucioperca (pikeperch), 1375 nucleotides. RefSeq lists it as uncharacterized. The transcript has 2 exons. Lineage: Eukaryota; Metazoa; Chordata; Actinopteri; Perciformes; Percidae. The record is from RefSeq and is a predicted model, not a curated record.
UAUCCACCUUCUUCUCAUCUAACUCUCGGCAAGAACGCAAAUACAGCCAUUUCACCAGAAUGUUGAACUUGUUUUUUUUUUUUGUUUUUGUUUUUUUGGUGGACCGAUGGGUUUAACAAUAAAAAAAGGCUCCAGCAGUGAUCCCCGUGAGCGUCGUGGGUGUUGGAUGCUACCAGCAGCUGGAUGGACAGUGUGUUAAGUCUCCCACCAGCCUCCCUCUUCCUCCCUCCUCUUCUCUCGGUGCCCAAGAGCACAAACUGAGCAACACCAGCACUGCUGCCCACAUCUCCUCUGUCCUCCAGCUCUCUGCUGCAUGUUUACACACCGAGGGCUCGGACCGGUCACACAGUAAACACACACAUACACACACACACACACACACACUGCCCGCGUCUCACUACCGGCAAGUCAUGACUUUAGCUUUUUCCACAUCCUGCUGCCAACGCACAGCUUAUUUUUUUUUCUGCUUAUUUUUUUUUAAAUCACCCAAACACUUGGAUUUUGAUUCAGUUUUUGGACUGGCUUUAUCUUUUUCCGUUCCUCUCCCUUUCUCUCUCUCUCUCUCAGUCGGCCAGCUCACCCCUCCCCCCACCUCCAUGCCAGGUAGAUAUUUCCUUUAUUUCUCAGGAAGUAUUUGAUAGAUCAUUUUAUGAGGAAAUGUAUCCACCAGCCACAGCACAACAGCAACUAAAUAAUCCCCCCCCCACACACACACACACAUUCGCACCAAAAAUUUAAUUUGUAUCAAUCAUUUGAGAAUGUCUCUCUCUUGACCUGCCAGUGGCCCCUUUUCUUUGGAAAUGCAAAUAUUAUCCUCCAAUGUUUGGAGCAGCACCUGGAUGAGAGACUAUCUUUAUAUUUUGUGUUUGGUGGAUUUAUUCUAGUUUAUUCUUUUUUUUUUUUCAGAGAUUAGGGAAAGCAUUUUGAAAUCCCAGAGGGGAACGAGGACCCCUGUUCUUUUUUUUGUUUUUUUAAGAUCACUAACUUUUCAAGAGAAGUGUGGGGUGUUUGUUUUUUUAUAGCCAGACAGACAGACGGACGGACGGACGGACAACUCUACACUUAUUCACUUGACUGACAGUCCUGCUUUUAACCCGAUUCGUUUACUUUAUUUUUCUUUAUUUUUUUUGACAAGCGGAAGGGAUGAGAAGUCAAUCCGAGAGCCGAAAUGUGAAUCUCUCUCUGCCCCUUUACAAGUGUUGUAUAGACUCUCAUUCUUCAAACCUCCUUUGUUUUUUUUGUUUUUGUUGUUGUUGUUGUCGUCAGACAGCAUGGAAUAAUGACACUUGCAAAGUGGCGCUGAAAAAGUAAAUAAUGACAUAACCAUGAAUAAAGGAUUGUAAAAUAUUAAUAAAAAAAAGUACUUUUCAGAAAA